This is a long non-coding RNA of Cynoglossus semilaevis (tongue sole), 1203 nucleotides long. RefSeq lists it as uncharacterized. The transcript is spliced from 7 exons. The record is from RefSeq and is a predicted model, not a curated record. Lineage: Eukaryota; Metazoa; Chordata; Actinopteri; Pleuronectiformes; Cynoglossidae.
CUUUGAUGUUCAGAAGUGUUGCCCUGCAGCAGAUGCAUCGACUCCUAUCACCAACCACUAUCGUGUAAACUUCCAAACUCUUCGGCGUUGCCUGCAGAACUUAUUUUUUAGUUUACAUCCAGAAGUGAAUCCAUCACUCUGUCCUUGAACAGGUUUGAAAAACUGUGAAACUUUUCCAAAAUAAUUUUUCACUUCUUACCAAACAGGUUUCAUCGGACCACCACAUCAACCAAGCAAGUAACAAUACUGUAAUAAUUAGUGACACAGUACAAUACUUUAGUGACAGAUAUGACAUCAUCUCAUCCACUCUGCAUUAUACAGAAUUAACAACUAAACUGUACAACAUCCAGAGCUGCAGGGUUUGGUUUCCAGCUCAAAGCUCAAAGGUGCAGUACCUGUACUUGACCAGUGUCGCAGCACUGGUGUGGAAUGAAGCUCCUGCAGAGGUAUGUCCAACGUCUGGCUCAGGUGGUGAUUGUGGCCGCUUCAUGCUCCGUCCACCUGGUCCCUGAUGGAGACUGACAGCUAAUGUCCCCAUAAUUGCUCAAAUGAACCCCGGCUGCCGUCGCCUUCAGCUCCGAGUCGCCCCGGGACGGGACAACACAACAGUGUCCACCAGUGACGGAUGCUGCGUCGCUGACGUUAAAAAGUCAGCAGUUCUUCAAAGUUCCUGGAUUGAAAUGGCAGCUUCGUCAGAGACACGGGGGGAAAUGCAUGGGUAAUAAGACCCAGGUGAGCAUGCAGCAAAUCACAUCAGAUCAGGCUCUUUGUUCCUGAUGGGAUUCAUGCUCCACUGACACUCAGGCAGUAACAAGAAGCUGACAACAGGAAAUACAGCUGCAGUGGGACGGAGCCCCCUCAGGUCACAUGAUGGCAAAACGCUUCGUCCUGGUGCAGAGGAUUCAGGUGCCUCCAGUGGUCCGACUGCAACAACAAGUGUUAGCAUUAUUGCAGCCUCCAGGUUGGAGUUGACUUCUCUCUUGAAGUGGCCUUAACCACAUGGACCAGUUCAUUACAGGAGUGACAGUGUGCUUUCUUCCUGUGGAGGAUUAAAGAAGGAGCUCUGAGCUUCAUGCUCCACCAGAGCCCACCUGCAGCACUGCUGUGUGUAGGUGGUGAGAGCGAGGCCGGGGGAGGAUGCCAGCACACGCUGCUGAGGGAAGGGCACAAACGCUGACUCUCCAGCACCACCUGUCUCACUUG